RNAcentral lists this ribosomal RNA (253 nucleotides) under uncultured bacterium. RNAcentral's name for it is "partial 16S ribosomal RNA". It matches the Rfam family "Bacterial small subunit ribosomal RNA", at positions 524 to 776 of the family's 1533-position model. The record is from RNAcentral.
UACGUAGGGUGCAAGCGUUAAUCGGAAUUACUGGGCGUAAAGCGUGCGCAGGCGGUUCUAUAAGACAGAUGUGAAAUCCCCGGGCUCAACCUGGGAACUGCAUUUGUGACUGUAGAGCUGGAGUGCGGCAGAGGGGGAUGGAAUUCCGCGUGUAGCAGUGAAAUGCGUAGAUAUGCGGAGGAACACCGAUGGCGAAGGCAAUCCUCUGGGCCUGCACUGACGCUCAUGCACGAAAGCGUGGGGAGCAAACAGG